AGGAUGAACGCUGGCGGCGUGCUUAACACAUGCAAGUCAUGGGGGCCCAGCAAUGGGCAACCGGCGAACGGGUGCGUAACACGUGAGCAACCUACCCAGGUGUGGGGGAUAGCCGUCCCAACGGACGGGUAAUACCGCAUACGCUCAACACGAGGCAUUUCGAGUUGAGGAAACCUUCGGGGCACCAUGAGGGGCUCGCGGCCUAUCAGCUAGUUGGCGAGGUAACGGCUCACCAAGGCUACGACGGGUAGCUGGUCUGAGAGGAUGACCAGCCACAUUGGGACUGAGAAACGGCCCAGACUCCUACGGGAGGCAGCAGUGGGGAAUCUUGCGCAAUGGCCUAACGGCUGACGCAGCGACGCCGCGUGAGGAUGGCGCUCUUCGGAGUGUAAACCUCUUUUGCCUGGAGCGAACUAUCAGCUUCAGCUGAUUGACGUACCGGUGAAUAAGCACCGGCUAACUCCGCGCCAGCAGCCGCGUAA
This 482-nucleotide ribosomal RNA is filed under the name uncultured soil bacterium. RNAcentral describes it as "bacterial SSU rRNA". It matches the Rfam family "Bacterial small subunit ribosomal RNA", at positions 26 to 522 of the family's 1533-position model. The record is from RNAcentral.